CCUACGGGAGGCAGCAGUGGGGAAUAUUGGACAAUGGGGGAAACCCUGAUCCAGCAAUGCCGCGUGAGUGAUGAAGGCCCUAGGGUUGUAAAACUCUUUCAGAAGUGAAGAUGAUGACUGUAACUUCAGAAGAAGCUCCGGCUAACUCCGUGCCAGCAGCCGCGGUAAUACGGAGGGAGCUAGCGUUGUUCGGAAUUACUGGGCGUAAAGAGCGUGUAGGCUGUUAGGUAAGUCAGAGGUGAAAUCCCUAAGCUCAACUUAGGAACUGCCUUUGAUACUAUCUUACUAGAGAUCGAGAGAAGUUAGCGGAAUUCCAAGUGUAGAGGUGAAAUUCGUAGAUAUUUGGAAGAACACCAGUGGCGAAAGCGGCUAACUGGCUCGUAUCUGACGCUGAGACGCGAAAGCGUGGGUAGCAAACAGGAUUAGAUACCCUGGUAGUCCACGCCGUAAACGAUGUGUGCUAGCCGUUUGUGAUUUAUCGCAAGUGGUGCAGCUAACGCGUUAAGCACACCGCCUGGGGAGUACGAUCGCAAGAUUAAAACUCAAAUGAAUUGACGG
Molecule: ribosomal RNA, 558 nt
Filed under: uncultured bacterium
Lineage: Bacteria
Description: bacterial SSU rRNA
Rfam family: Bacterial small subunit ribosomal RNA
Source: RNAcentral